GAUGAACGCUGACAGAAUGCUUAACACAUGCAAGUCAACUUGAACUUCGGUUUGGGUGGCGGACGGGUGAGUAACGCGUAAAGAACUUGCCUCACAGAUAGGGACAACAUUUGGAAACGAAUGCUAAUACCUGAUAUUAUGAUUAUAUGGCAUCGUAUAAUUAUGAAAGCUAUAUGCGCUGUGAGAGAGCUUUGCGUCCCAUUAGCUAGUUGGAGAGGUAACGGCUCACCAAGGCGAUGAUGGGUAGCCGGCCUGAGAGGGUGAUCGGCCACAAGGGGACUGAGACACGGCCCUUACGCCUACGGGAGGCAGCAGUGGGGAAUAUUGGACAAUGGACCAAGAGUCUGAUCCAGCAAUUCUGUGUGCACGAUGAAGUUUUUCGGAAGGUAAAGUGCUUUCAGUUGGGAAGAAAAAAAGGACGGUACCAACAGAAGAAGUGACGGCUAAAUACGG
This 453-nucleotide ribosomal RNA is filed under the name uncultured bacterium. Its description in RNAcentral is "partial 16S ribosomal RNA". It matches the Rfam family "Bacterial small subunit ribosomal RNA", at positions 28 to 506 of the family's 1533-position model. The record is from RNAcentral.